UGCGUAGGUGGCAAGCGUUGUCCGGAUUUACUGGGUGUAAAGGGCGUGCAGCCGGGCUGACAAGUCAGAUGUGAAAUCCCGCGGCUCAACCGCGGAACUGCAUUUGAAACUGUCAGUCUUGAGUACCGGAGAGGUCAUCGGAAUUCCUUGUGUAGCGGUGAAAUGCGUAGAUAUAAGGAAGAACACCAGUGGCGAAGGCGGAUGACUGGAUGGCAACUGACGGUGAGGCGCGAAAGCGUGGGGAGCAAACAGG
RNAcentral lists this ribosomal RNA (253 nucleotides) under uncultured bacterium. Its description in RNAcentral is "partial 16S ribosomal RNA". It matches the Rfam family "Bacterial small subunit ribosomal RNA", at positions 524 to 776 of the family's 1533-position model. The record is from RNAcentral.